UGAAGGUGCAUUCAGUGGUUCUUGGGCAGCCUCCCCUGCAGAGGCCGAGGCUGCUCACACCAAACCUGAGAGAGCCCUUUACACUGAGAAACUACAGAGCUCUGGAAAGCUGGGGUCCUCAGGCAGAUGUGAUGGGGUCCAGAUGGGAAGGCUGAGGAGAAGCCAUGUCUGAGUUGAUAUUGCCCAGGACUGUUCCCAGAGAGUCCAAUGAAACAAGUGCAGAUGGAGGUGCCAUGAGAUCCAUAGGAAGGCUGUCAGGACUCCCCAGAAGGCAGGAAAUGUUGUGAAGGAUCAAAAACUCUGCCAAAGCUUAAGAACCUCCCAUCCCAGUGCAGUGCUGGGCAAACCUGAAAAGCCUCGUAGAGUGGAGUCAGGGUCCAGGUCUCUUGGGCGGGUGAUCAUGGAACGUUUCAAUGAGCAAGUCCAGGUGAGAGGGUCCCCAGCUGUCCAGAAC
RNAcentral lists this long non-coding RNA (454 nucleotides) under Ictidomys tridecemlineatus (thirteen-lined ground squirrel). Its description in RNAcentral is "lncRNA (ENSSTOG00000030131.1)". Lineage: Eukaryota; Metazoa; Chordata; Mammalia; Rodentia; Sciuridae. The record is from RNAcentral.